UACAGAUCUAAAAUUAUAAAGUUGUUUGUUUUUUUUUUUUUUUUUUGAAUAUUUUUGAUCAAGUGCGAAUACACUUUUUUCCUUUUUGAAAAUUUGUGACAGCUCUGCGGUUUUUGUUUCGUUGACUUGUUUUGUAGUCAUGUCUGAAGACGACUGUUCAUCGACUCGUGACUGGGCUUUGCCCUCCUCGAAUGGGAAGCGAUCCGAUGCCGCUUACCGCAAACAGCGGAUUCUACCCACACACAAGGGAAGAGCUGUGCUCAACCUUGCGGCACAGCGGCGUGGAAGGAUGCCUUCAAAGCCCCGAGCACCUUACCGUAGUGCAGCAGCUCCCUUUUGCUCCCUACAGCCAACGCCAUUGUCCGUGCAUCUGGAGCGCCCGUAUAAGGCUGAAGCCGAAAAAACGCGUCCCCAUUGAGCGCAAAAGCAAACGCACAUGUGGCAAGGACAAGCCCAAGAGCUCGGAAGUCUGUUGCUAAGAAGUCAAAGCGCAAUGUCCAGAAGCCCUAGUGCUAGAAGACCGAUAUGAACUAUAGAAACAAAACUAGAAUAUGAAAAACAAAAACAAACCAAACGAAAUGAACCGAAACAACACAAGACCAUCGUCAAUUCAGGAAUCCUCGAAGCAAACUCAAAUUGAACUUGAAGAAGCCCCAUCUAGGACGAAGCCGACUUGGUACAAAAGAGCCACCCACGAGCAUACGGCGAUUGUAUCUGAUAUUUGGCGCCUGAGGAGGUGUCGGCCAUCACUCUGCUGAACCGUGUGGAGACCAGUAUGGCAUGGGAUCGACACGUGGAAUACCAGCUAUGCUAUUGUCGUGGCCUUUUGUCUUUUCGAGAACCGACUGGCGCGACUGGCCUCUUAAAAGCUCUUAAAACGGAUUGCCCAGUGAGUGGCAGUGCUGGAUGGCAGGGAAUGUAUUCUGAAUAAAUAAUAGUAGUAAUUCAAGAGUA
Drosophila pseudoobscura is the source of this 954-nucleotide long non-coding RNA. RefSeq lists it as uncharacterized. The transcript is spliced from 2 exons. NCBI's taxonomy places the organism in Eukaryota, Metazoa, Arthropoda, Insecta, Diptera, Drosophilidae. The record is from RefSeq and is a predicted model, not a curated record.